GACGAACGCUCUCGGCGUGCUUAACACAUGCAAGUCGAACGGAAAGGCCCUGCUUUUGUGGGGUGCUCGAGUGGCGAACGGGUGAGUAACACGUGAGUAACCUGCCCUUGACUUUGGGAUAACUUCAGGAAACUGGGGCUAAUACCGGAUAGGAGCUCCUGCUGCAUGGUGGGGGUUGGAAAGUUUCGGCGGUUGGGGAUGGACUCGCGGCUUAUCAGCUUGUUGGUGGGGUAGUGGCUUACCAAGGCUUUGACGGGUAGCCGGCCUGAGAGGGUGACCGGCCACAUUGGGACUGAGAUACGGCCCAGACUCCUACGGGAGGCAGCAGUGGGGAAUAUUGCACAAUGGGCGGAAGCCUGAUGCAGCAACGCCGCGUGCGGGAUGACGGCCUUCGGGUUGUAAACCGCUUUCGCCUGUGACGAAGCGUGAGUGACGGUAAUGGGUAAAGAAGCACCGGCUAACUACGUGCCAGCAGCCGCGGUGAUACGUAGGGUGCGAGCGUUGUCCGGAUUUAUUGGGCGUAAAGGGCUCGUAGGUGGUUGAUCGCGUCGGAAGUGUAAUCUUGGGGCUUAACCCUGAGCGUGCUUUCGAUACGGGUUGACUUGAGGAAGGUAGGGGAGAAUGGAAUUCCUGGUGGAGCGGUGGAAUGCGCAGAUAUCAGGAGGAACACCAGUGGCGAAGGCGGUUCUCUGGGCCUUUCCUGACGCUGAGGAGCGAAAGCGUGGGGAGCGAACAGGCUUAGAUACCCUGGUAGUCCACGCUGUAAACGGUGGGUACUAGGUGUGGGGUCCAUUCCACGGGUUCCGUGCCGUAGCUAACGCUUUAAGUACCCCGCCUGGGGAGUACGGCCGCAAGGCUAAAACUCAAAGGAAUUGACGGGGCCCCGCACAAGCGGCGGAGCAUGCGGAUUAAUUCGAUGCAACGCGUAGAACCUUACCUGGGUUUGACAUGGAUCGGGAGUGCUCAGAGAUGGGUGUGCCUCUUUUGGGGUCGGUUCACAGGUGGUGCAUGCCUGUCGUCAGCUCGUGUCGUGAGAUGUUGGGUUAAGUCCCGCAACGAGCGCAACCCUUGUUCACUGUUGCCAGCACGUUAUGGUGGGGACUCAGUGGAGACCGCCGGGGUCAACUCGGAGGAAGGUGGGGACGACGUCAAGUCAUCAUGCCCCUUAUGUCCAGGGCUUCACGCAUGCUACAAUGGCUGGUACAGAGAGUGGCGAGCCUGUGAGGGUGAGCGAAUCUCGGAAAGCCGGUCUCAGUUCGGAUUGGGGUCUGCAACUCGACCUCAUGAAGUCGGAGUCGCUAGUAAUCGCAGAUCAGCAACGCUGCGGUGAAUACGUUCCCGGG
RNAcentral lists this ribosomal RNA (1343 nucleotides) under uncultured bacterium. Its description in RNAcentral is "16S ribosomal RNA". It matches the Rfam family "Bacterial small subunit ribosomal RNA", at positions 28 to 1378 of the family's 1533-position model. The record is from RNAcentral.